AUUUCCCAAGUACUGCCGUACACGCGACUUCCAAUCACGGGGCCCCGAAUAAAGCCGGGGGGAAAUA
This 67-nucleotide transfer RNA is filed under the name Teratoscincus roborowskii. RNAcentral describes it as "tRNA-Gly". The record is from RNAcentral. Lineage: Eukaryota; Metazoa; Chordata; Lepidosauria; Squamata; Sphaerodactylidae. RNAcentral also lists the same sequence under 1 other name.